AGCCUACUAGCUCAAUAGGUAGAGCAUUAUGAAAAUGCACAAAAGAUGUGGGUUUGAAUCCCACGUAGGUUA
This is a non-coding RNA of Spinacia oleracea (spinach), 72 nucleotides long. The record is from Rfam. NCBI's taxonomy places the organism in Eukaryota, Viridiplantae, Streptophyta, Magnoliopsida, Caryophyllales, Amaranthaceae.